RNAcentral lists this ribosomal RNA (497 nucleotides) under uncultured bacterium. RNAcentral describes it as "partial 16S ribosomal RNA". It matches the Rfam family "Bacterial small subunit ribosomal RNA", at positions 28 to 507 of the family's 1533-position model. The record is from RNAcentral.
GAUGAACGCUGGCGGCGUGCCUAAUACAUGCAAGUCGAGCGAACAGACGAGGAGCUUGCUCCUCUGACGUUAGCGGCUGACGGGUGAGUAACACGUGGAUAACCUACCUAUAAGACUGGGAUAACUUCGGGAAACCGGAUCUAAUACCGGAUAAUAUAUUGAACCGCAUGGUUCAAUAGUUAAAGACGGUUUUGCUGUCACUUAUAGCUGGAUCCGCGCCGCAUUAGCUAGUUGGUAAGGUAACGGCUUACCAAGGCAACGAUGCGUAGCCGACCUGAGAGGGUGAUCGGCCACACUGGAACUGAGACACGGUCCAGACUCCUACGGGAGGCAGCAGUAGGGAAUCUUCCGCAAUGGGCGAAAGCCUGACGGAGCAACGCCGCGUGAGUGAUGAAGGUCUUCGGAUCGUAAAACUCUGUUAUUAGGGAAGAACAAAUGUGUAAGUAACUAUGCACGUCUUGACGGUACCUAAUCAGAAAGCCACGGCUAACUACGUG